GUCAUAACGGGUUCAUCACGGGCCGCCCCUUAAGAGUGUUUAUUAAACGGGCUUUACCCGUGAAUAAAAGGGUGCCCAUUAGGUUUUUUUUUCUUCAGAAUAUGUGAAACUACUUAAUUUUAUCUUAGGUUUCCUUAUCUCAAAACUAAUCUCGUUGUCGUCUCUCUCGUUUCUCCUCUCUGUGUCGAUGAAUCUCAAAACAUGAAUCCAAAUUGAGAAACCACUUUCUCUCUUUCAGUCUCUGGCAACCUCUCUCUCUCCAGCGACCUCUCUCUCUCUCGCUCAGAUUCCGGAUCUAAGUAGCAACCGUACAGCAGCUUGAGUUCAUUGCAGAAGCUUGGUCUCAGGUUAGCAAAAAACUAAAACCAGUGACAGACAUCUUUGUAUUGUUCUGUGUUUGCUUACCUUAAGUUUUAUGUAUAUUCAGAUUCUUAUUUCUCUGUACAACCUUUAGCUUCAUGUAUAUGCUUGCUUGGUGUUGAACUUAAUUAUGGACUCUGCUGGAUCUGUGAAGUUAAUUA
Long non-coding RNA from Raphanus sativus (radish), 521 nucleotides. RefSeq lists it as uncharacterized. The record is from RefSeq and is a predicted model, not a curated record. NCBI's taxonomy places the organism in Eukaryota, Viridiplantae, Streptophyta, Magnoliopsida, Brassicales, Brassicaceae. The transcript has 2 exons.